RNAcentral lists this ribosomal RNA (253 nucleotides) under uncultured bacterium. RNAcentral's name for it is "partial 16S ribosomal RNA". It matches the Rfam family "Bacterial small subunit ribosomal RNA", at positions 524 to 776 of the family's 1533-position model. The record is from RNAcentral.
UACGGGGGGGGCAAGCGUUGUUCGGAAUUACUGGGCGUAAAGGGCGCGUAGGCGGCCUUCUAAGUCGGACGUGAAAUCCCUCGGCUUAACCGAGGAACCGCGUCCGAUACUGAAAGGCUUGAAUCCGGGAGAGGGAUGUGGAAUUCCAGGUGUAGCGGUGAAAUGCGUAGAUAUCAGGAGGAACACCGAUGGCGAAGGCAGCUCGCUGGGACGGUACUGACGCUGAGACGCGAAAGCGUGGGGAGCAAACAGG